UACGGAGGGUGCAAGCGUUGUCCGGAAUUACUGGGCGUAAAGCGUGCGCAGGCGGUUCGUUGUGUCGGCGGUGAAAGCCCCGGGCUUAACCUGGGAAUGGCCGUUGAAACUGGCGAACUGGAGUGUGGCAGAGGGGGUGGAAUUCCGCGUGUAGCAGUGAAAUGCGUAGAGAUGCGGAGGAACACCGAUGGCGAAGGCAGCCCCCUGGGCUAACACUGACGCUCAGGCACGAAAGCGUGGGAGCAAACAGG
This 251-nucleotide ribosomal RNA is filed under the name uncultured bacterium. RNAcentral's name for it is "partial 16S ribosomal RNA". It matches the Rfam family "Bacterial small subunit ribosomal RNA", at positions 524 to 776 of the family's 1533-position model. The record is from RNAcentral.